RNAcentral lists this ribosomal RNA (254 nucleotides) under uncultured bacterium. RNAcentral's name for it is "partial 16S ribosomal RNA". It matches the Rfam family "Bacterial small subunit ribosomal RNA", at positions 524 to 776 of the family's 1533-position model. The record is from RNAcentral.
UACGGGGGGAGCAAGCGUUGUUCGGAUUUACUGGGCGUAAAGGGCGCGUAGGCGGCCACGACAAGUCACUUGUGAAAUCCCUGGGCUUAACCUAGGAACUGCAUUGAAAACUGAAUAACUGGAGUACUGUAGAGGGUAGUGGAAUUUCCGGUGUAGCGGUGAAAUGCGUAGAGAUCGGAAGGAACACCAGUGGCGAAGGCGGCUACCUGGGCAGAUACUGACGCUGAGGCGCGAGAGCGUGGGGAGCAAACAGG